Molecule: long non-coding RNA, 438 nt
Filed under: Capsicum annuum
Lineage: Eukaryota; Viridiplantae; Streptophyta; Magnoliopsida; Solanales; Solanaceae
Description: long non-coding RNA (CANN_LNC006202)
Source: RNAcentral
AAUGCAGCAAUUGAAAAACAUCCAAAGGAAAAUACAAUCCAACAAAUAAAAGCCGUUUGUUUAGUAUUCCUCAUGAUCAUCAUCUUCGCCUUCGUCCAAUUCAGCACCAACCUCCUCGUAGUCCUUUUCCAGAGCAGCCAGAUCUUCACGUGCUUCACUGAACUCACCUUCCUCCAUACCCUCACCAACAUACCAGUGCACAAAAGCACGCUUGGCAUACAUCAGAUCGAACUUGUGAUCAAUGCGUGAGAAGACCUCAGCAACACUGGUUGAGUUGGAUAUCAUACAAACAGCCCUUUGCACCUUAGCAAGAUCACCUCCAGGAACAACAGUUGGUGGCUGAUAGUUGAUACCACACUUGAAUCCAGUAGGGCACCAGUCAACAAAUUGGAUGGUGCGCUUAGUCUUGAUGGUAGCCACAGCAGCAUUCACAUCCUU